CUUUCUUUGCUGGCGACCGGCGCACGGGUGAGUAGCACGUAUCCAACCUGCCCUUUACUCGGGGAUAGCCUUUCGAAAGAAAGAUUAAUACCCGAUAGCAUAAUGAUUCCGCAUGGUUUCAUUAUUAAAGGAUUCCGGUAAAGGAUGGGGAUGCGUUCCAUUAGGUUGUUGGUGGGUAACGGCCCACCAAGCCUUCGAUGGAUAGGGGUUCUGAGAGGAAGGUCCCCCACAUUGGAACUGAGACACGGUCCAA
Molecule: ribosomal RNA, 253 nt
Filed under: uncultured bacterium
Lineage: Bacteria
Description: partial 16S ribosomal RNA
Rfam family: Bacterial small subunit ribosomal RNA
Source: RNAcentral